GGCUCGGUGAUGGAAUGGCAGACAUGCAGGUCUUAGAAGCCUGUCUCCGUAAUGGGGGUGCGGGUUCAAGUCCCGCCCGAGCCA
RNAcentral lists this transfer RNA (84 nucleotides) under Planctomycetota bacterium. RNAcentral describes it as "Planctomycetes bacterium tRNA-Leu". It matches the Rfam family "tRNA". From Rfam's summary of the family: Transfer RNA (tRNA) molecules are approximately 80 nucleotides in length. Their secondary structure includes four short double-helical elements and three loops (D, anti-codon, and T loops). Lineage: Bacteria; Pseudomonadati; Planctomycetota. The record is from RNAcentral.